RNAcentral lists this ribosomal RNA (253 nucleotides) under uncultured bacterium. RNAcentral describes it as "partial 16S ribosomal RNA". It matches the Rfam family "Bacterial small subunit ribosomal RNA", at positions 524 to 776 of the family's 1533-position model. The record is from RNAcentral.
UACGAAGGGGGCUAGCGUUGCUCGGCAUCACUGGGCGUAAAGCGCCCGUAGGCGGCUUCUUAAGUCAGGGGUGAAAUCCUGGAGCUCAACUCCAGAACUGCCUUUGAUACUGAGGAGCUCGAGUCCGGAAGAGGUGAGUGGAACUGCGAGUGUAGAGGUGAAAUUCGUAGAUAUUCGCAAGAACACCAGUGGCGAAGGCGGCUCACUGGUCCGGUACUGACGCUGAGGUGCGAAAGCGUGGGGAGCAAACAGG